This 77-nucleotide transfer RNA is filed under the name Planctomycetes bacterium GWB2_41_19. Its description in RNAcentral is "tRNA-Val". It matches the Rfam family "tRNA". Rfam says of the family: Transfer RNA (tRNA) molecules are approximately 80 nucleotides in length. Their secondary structure includes four short double-helical elements and three loops (D, anti-codon, and T loops). The record is from RNAcentral. Lineage: Bacteria; Pseudomonadati; Planctomycetota. RNAcentral also lists the same sequence under 4 other names.
GGGCGAUUAGCUCAGCUGGCUAGAGCGCUUGCUCGACAAGCAAGAGGUCACUGGUUCGAGUCCAGUAUCGCCCACCA